Bufo bufo (common toad) is the source of this 151-nucleotide long non-coding RNA. RefSeq lists it as uncharacterized. The record is from RefSeq and is a predicted model, not a curated record. The transcript has 3 exons. Lineage: Eukaryota; Metazoa; Chordata; Amphibia; Anura; Bufonidae.
ACUGUGUCCUGACACAUCGUCAGGACAUAGUGCGCACUUACGUGCACUAUGACCUGAUGCUGUGUGACGUCAGGAUGACAGUGCAGCGCGCGGAGAAGAAGAUGGACGAGCUGUGGAGCGGCACCCCUACAAGAAAGGUAAGUAUUUUUUU